Molecule: ribosomal RNA, 403 nt
Filed under: uncultured bacterium
Lineage: Bacteria
Description: bacterial SSU rRNA
Rfam family: Bacterial small subunit ribosomal RNA
Source: RNAcentral
UGGGGAAUCUUGCACAAUGGGGGCAACCCUGAUGCAGCGACGCCGCGUGAGCGAUGAAGCCCUUCGGGGUGUAAAGCUCUUUCGUCAGGGAAGAUAGUGACGGUACCUGGAGAAGCAGCUGCGGCUAACUACGUGCCAGCAGCCGCGGUAAUACGUAGGCAGCGAGCGUUGUUCGGAGUUACUGGGCGUAAAGGGUGUGUAGGCGGUUGUUUAAGUUUGGUGUGAAAUCUCCCGGCUCAACUGGGAGGGUGCGCCGAAUACUGAGCGACUAGAGUGCGGGAGAGGAAAGUGGAAUUCCUGGUGUAGCGGUGAAAUGCGUAGAUAUCAGGAGGAACACCGGUGGUGUAGACGGCUUUCUGGACCGUAACUGACGCUGAGACACGAAAGCGUGGGUAGCAAACAG